GAGAAACAAUAUUUUAAAAAAAAUAUAAUUAUGCUUUUAUAUGAAAAUUACUAAAUAUUAAAAUUUUGUACACAUUCUCCUCUGUUGUUUGAUGUCUAGCCUGAUUUAAUUUAGUGACAAACGAUAUAUCAGUCAACAUCAUUUGGGUCAGUCGAUUUUUAUACAUUUCAACUCUCAAGCUACAAAUCAACAAAUGCUUAAGCAGAAAUCUCAUCGGAUUUUUUUCUUUUCUUUUUUGGGAAGUUAGAGAUUAAAUUCAUUAACAUAGCAC
RNAcentral lists this unclassified non-coding RNA (271 nucleotides) under Hevea brasiliensis (rubber tree). The record is from RNAcentral. Lineage: Eukaryota; Viridiplantae; Streptophyta; Magnoliopsida; Malpighiales; Euphorbiaceae.